UAGGGUUUGAUCCUGGCUCAGGACGAACGCUGGCGGCGUGCCUAAUACAUGCAAGUAGAACGCACAGGAUGCACCGUAGUUUACUACACCGUAUUCUGUGAGUUGCGAACGGGUGAGUAACGCGUAGGUAACCUGCCUGGUAGCGGGGGAUAACUAUUGGAAACGAUAGCUAAUACCGCAUAAGAACAUUUACUGCAUGGUAGAUGUUUAAAAGGUGCAAAUGCAUCACUACCAGAUGGACCUGCGUUGUAUUAGCUAGUAGGUGAGGUAACGGCUCACCUAGGCGACGAUACAUAGCCGACCUGAGAGGGUGAUCGGCCACACUGGGACUGAGACACGGCCCAGACUCCUACGGGAGGCAGCAGUAGGGAAUCUUCGGCAAUGGGGGGAACCCUGACCGAGCAACGCCGCGUGAGUGAAGAAGGUUUUCGGAUCGUAAAGCUCUGUUGUUAAGGAAGAACGAGUGUGAGAAUGGAAAGUUCAUACUGUGACGGUACUUAACCAGAAAGGGACGGCUAACUACGUGCCAGCAGCCGCGGUAAUACGUAGGUCCCGAGCGUUGUCCGGAUUUAUUGGGCGUAAAGCGAGCGCAGGCGGUUAGAUAAGUCUGAAGUUAAAGGCAGUGGCUCAACCAUUGUAGGCUUUGGAAACUGUUUAACUUGAGUGCAGAAGGGGAGAGUGGAAUUCCAUGUGUAGCGGUGAAAUGCGUAGAUAUAUGGAGGAACACCGGUGGCGAAAGCGGCUCUCUGGUC
RNAcentral lists this ribosomal RNA (752 nucleotides) under uncultured bacterium. Its description in RNAcentral is "bacterial SSU rRNA". It matches the Rfam family "Bacterial small subunit ribosomal RNA", at positions 1 to 734 of the family's 1533-position model. The record is from RNAcentral.